RNAcentral lists this ribosomal RNA (643 nucleotides) under uncultured Lachnospiraceae bacterium. RNAcentral's name for it is "bacterial SSU rRNA". It matches the Rfam family "Bacterial small subunit ribosomal RNA", at positions 72 to 735 of the family's 1533-position model. Lineage: Bacteria; Bacillati; Bacillota; Clostridia; Lachnospirales; Lachnospiraceae. The record is from RNAcentral.
AACUGAAGAUUUGGUGAUUGAGUGGCGGACGGGUGAGUAACGCGUGGGUAACCUACCCUGUACGGGGGGAUAACAGUCAGAAAUGACUGCUAAUACCGCAUAAGACCACAGCACCGCAUGGUGCAGGGGUAAAAACUCCGGUGGUACAGGAUGGACCCGCGUCUGAUUAGCUGGUUGGUGAGGUAACGGCUCACCAAGGCGACGAUCAGUAGCCGGCUUGAGAGAGUGAACGGCCACAUUGGGACUGAGACACGGCCCAAACUCCUACGGGAGGCAGCAGUGGGGAAUAUUGCACAAUGGGGGAAACCCUGAUGCAGCGACGCCGCGUGAGUGAAGAAGUAUCUCGGUAUGUAAAGCUCUAUCAGCAGGGAAGAAAAUGACGGUACCUGACUAAGAAGCCCCGGCUAACUACGUGCCAGCAGCCGCGGUAAUACGUAGGGGGCAAGCGUUAUCCGGAAUUACUGGGUGUAAAGGGUGCGUAGGUGGUAUGGCAAGUCAGAAGUGAAAACCCAGGGCUUAACUCUGGGACUGCUUUUGAAACUGUCAGACUGGAGUGCAGGAGAGGUAAGCGGAACUCCUAGUGUAGCGGUGAAAUGCGUAGAUAUUAGGAGGAACAUCAGUGGCGAAGGCGGCUCACUGGACU